Carcharodon carcharias (great white shark) is the source of this 535-nucleotide long non-coding RNA. RefSeq lists it as uncharacterized. The transcript has 3 exons. Lineage: Eukaryota; Metazoa; Chordata; Chondrichthyes; Lamniformes; Lamnidae. The record is from RefSeq and is a predicted model, not a curated record.
GGGCCGGGGAUACCAGGGUUACUAGGGAAACCGGACGCUCCCUUCCAGGUUUUUGAUUUGUUUUGUUGGUUAAUCUAUCUACCUAUAUUGGCCUGAACGCACCAGGGUUGCCAACUCUGGUUGGAGACAAAAUAAAAGGAAAAUAUUGUAGAUGCAGGAAAUCUGAAAUAAAAGCAGAAAAUGCCGGAAAAUCUCAACAGGCCUGGCAUAUCUGAACUUCAGAAGAAGAGCCUUAUUGGACUACUUAACAGUUAGCAGCAGGAGUCGGCCACUCGGCCCUGUGAGCCUGCUCCGUCAUUCAAUAAUCUGACUGUAACCUCCAGCCUGCCCCAGGGCGCAGCUAGCGUUCACCGGACAAAGCGAACCUGAUAACCGAAAACAUAAAACUGGCGAUGAGGAUAAACCGAAUCAAUUGACGGUAAUGAAGAAAUCCGCGCGUACCAUGGAAAAUCUGCUUCAGGGACUGCCCCAUGUCAUUUAUCUGGAUGAUGUCUUAGUCACUGGACAAACUGACGAGGAACACUGAACUAAUUUG